AGCGAACGCUGGCGGCAGGCUUAACACAUGCAAGUCGAGCGGGCAUCUUCGGAUGUCAGCGGCAGACGGGUGAGUAACACGUGGGAACGUACCCUUCGGUUCGGAACAACUCUGGGAAACUGGAGCUAAUACCGGAUACGCCCUUAUGGGGAAAGGUUUACUGCCGAAGGAUCGGCCCGCGUCUGAUUAGCUAGUUGGUGGGGUAACGGCCUACCAAGGCGACGAUCAGUAGCUGGUCUGAGAGGAUGAUCAGCCACACUGGGACUGAGACACGGCCCAGACUCCUACGGGAGGCAGCAGUGGGGAAUAUUGGUCAAUGGGCGCAAGCCUGAUCCAGCCAUGCCGCGUGAGUGAUGAAGGCCUUAGGGUUGUAAAGCUCUUUUGGCCGGGACGAUAAUGACGGUACCGGAAGAAUAAGCCCCGGCUAACUUCGU
RNAcentral lists this ribosomal RNA (434 nucleotides) under uncultured bacterium. Its description in RNAcentral is "partial 16S ribosomal RNA". It matches the Rfam family "Bacterial small subunit ribosomal RNA", at positions 29 to 506 of the family's 1533-position model. The record is from RNAcentral.